This 347-nucleotide long non-coding RNA is filed under the name Olea europaea (common olive). RNAcentral's name for it is "long non-coding RNA (OEUR_LNC003878)". Lineage: Eukaryota; Viridiplantae; Streptophyta; Magnoliopsida; Lamiales; Oleaceae. The record is from RNAcentral.
UUACACACUUAUUUGGUUCACAAACAUGACUUAAACAUGAAUAAAAUGGUUGAAUUGUGGCUUAAUCUUAUUAAAUUCAUGCAAUGUAGGUAUUUCAAUGGAAAUUGUGGAAUUCAGGAGAAAAGAGCCGAAGAAGGACCAAAACUCAACAAAGUGAUAGUUCGAGGACCAAAUGUGCAAAUAUUGAGAAGUUGAGCUAAAUGCAAAAUGAGAGUAACAACAUGCCAAGUAUGAGCUCAAUGACAAAUCAAAACAAUUGGAAGAAGAAAGAAGUGAAAAGGGACUGAAUUGAAGACAAUUGAAAGAUUCAGGACUAAAGGUGCAAAUACUCAAAAGAUGUGCCGAAU